UUAAAAAGCUCGUAGUUGGUUUCUGUUGAGGACGGCCGGUCCGCACUAUGUGCGUGUAUCUGGUUCGGCCUCGGCAUCCUCUUGAGGAACGUUUCUGCGCUUGAUUGCGUGGAGCGGUAUUCAAGACUUUUAUUUUGAGGAAAUUAGAGUGUUCACGGCAGGCAAGCGCCUUGAAUAUGUUAGCAUGGGAUAAUAAUAUAGGAUCUUGGUUCUAUUUGUUGGUUUCUAGGGCUAAGGUAAUGAUUAAUAGGGAUAAUUGGGGGCAUUUGUAUUAACGCGUCAGAGGUGGAAUUCUUGGAUUGCGUUACGACAAACUACUGCGAAAGCAUUUGCCAAGGAUGUUUUCAUUGAUCAAGAACGAAAGUAUGGGGAUCGAAGAUGAUUAGAUACCGUCGUAGUCUAUACCAUAAACUAUGCCGACUAGGGAUUGGAGGUCGUUCUUUUUAUGACUCCUUCAGCACCUUAUGAGAAAUCAAAGUCUUUGGGUUCCGGGGGGAGUAUAGUCGCAAGGCUGAAACUUAAAGGAAUUGACGGAAGGGCACCACCAGGAGUGGAGCCUGCGGCUUAAUUUGACUCAACACGGGGAAACUCACCAGGUCCAGACAUAGUAAGGAUUGACAGAUUGAUAGCUCUUUCUUGACUCUAUGGGUGGUGGUGCAUGGCCGUUCUUAGUUGGUGGAGUGAUUUGUCUGGUUUAUUUCGAUAACGAACGAGAUCUUAACCUGCUAAAUAGUGACGUGUAUCUCCGGAUAUGCGAACACUUCUUAGAGGGACUUUGUGGUUUCAACUGCAAGGAAGUUUGAGGCAAUAACAGGUCUGUGAUGCCCUUAGAUGUUCUGGGCUGCACGCGCGCUACACUGAUGCGUUCAACGAGUUUAUAACCUUGCCAGAUAUGGUUGGGUAAUCUUUUGAAACGCAUCGUGAUGGGGAUAGAUUAUUGUAAUUAUUAAUCUUCACGAGGAAUUCCUAGUG
RNAcentral lists this ribosomal RNA (972 nucleotides) under uncultured alveolate. RNAcentral's name for it is "SSU rRNA". It matches the Rfam family "Eukaryotic small subunit ribosomal RNA", at positions 619 to 1619 of the family's 1831-position model. The record is from RNAcentral.